GCUGGCGGCGUGCCUAACACAUGCAAGUCGAACGAGAAAAUGGGGUUCCGCGCAAGCGGAAUCGCAUGAGUAAAGUGGCGCACGGGUGAGUAACACGUGGCUAACCUACCUUCGAGUGGGGGAUAACCUGGGGAAACCUGGGCUAAUACCGUAUAACAUCCCAGCGGCACAAGUCACUGGGAUCAAAGGCCCGCAAGGGUCGCUGGAAGAGGGAGCUGCGGCCGAUUAGCUAGUUGGUAGGGUUGCGGCCUACCAAGGCGAUGAUCGGUAGCCGGCCUGAGAGGGCGCACGGCCACACUGGCACUGAAACACGGGCCAGACUCCUACGGGAGGCAGCAGUGGGGAAUUUUGCACAAUGCCCGAAAGGGUGAUGCAGCAACGCCGCGUGAGGGAUGAAGGCCUUCGGGUCGUAAACCUCUUUCGACCGGGAAAAAAGGACCUGCGAAGAGCGGGUUCUGAUGGUACCGGUGGAAGAAGCCCCGGCCAACUACGUGCCGGCAGCCGCGGUAAUACGUAGGGGGCGAGCGUUGUUCGGAAUUACUGGGCGUAAAGGGCGUGUAGGCGGUGCGGUAAGUCGGGCGUGAAAUCCCCGGGCCUAACUCGGGGCGGUCGU
Molecule: ribosomal RNA, 613 nt
Filed under: uncultured bacterium
Lineage: Bacteria
Description: bacterial SSU rRNA
Rfam family: Bacterial small subunit ribosomal RNA
Source: RNAcentral